This is a long non-coding RNA of Homo sapiens (human), 584 nucleotides long. Ensembl annotates it as SLC45A4 antisense RNA 1. Its record names the gene SLC45A4-AS1. The record is from Ensembl. Lineage: Eukaryota; Metazoa; Chordata; Mammalia; Primates; Hominidae.
AGAGAGGUGGGAAGGUGAUACAAACAGGUGGUCCGCUGGUAAUCCCCAUCGAGUGACUGGAUGAUCUGCAAAAGAGGAAAACAACCCGGCCAGAGAGUCAGGGGACGGCCACCAGAUGGCCCUGUGGACCGCCGCCCGACCCCCGAGCAAGCCGUGUGCCCCGAGGGCCCGACCCAAGAUCACACAGCUCUCUGCCACUCACUCUGGAGGAGACCAGAAACCUCGAGGUGCUGUCUUCACUCGGCUCCUCUCUCACACAGCCCUGAUGGAGAAGGUGGGUCCCUGGCACGUGGGCCCCAGGAGGGAGAAGACUCCGCUGUACAGGAGGUUCUGGAAGGAAGCCGUGCGCCUGGCUCUUACGUCCCAGCUCUUCCCUACAUCUUCUUUCACGCUGCAGCGGAAACCAGAAUGCCUACUAAUUCCUUAAGAACCAAAGGUUCAAGUGGUGCUACCUAUGUAUUUGCUUCUUACGUCCCCUGAACGUCGCUACGAUUCCACACGACAGCCCUCGAGAAUUCUUUCAAGUUUUCCAAAUGUCCUCUACCGUAGAAACAUCUCAAUUAAAACAAGAGUUUCCAAACUGU